Molecule: unclassified non-coding RNA, 302 nt
Filed under: Hevea brasiliensis (rubber tree)
Lineage: Eukaryota; Viridiplantae; Streptophyta; Magnoliopsida; Malpighiales; Euphorbiaceae
Source: RNAcentral
UUUAGUUCUUUACUUUUGAAUUCUGCUGAGUCGCUCACACGUUCGAUUUCUGGGAUAAGUCCCUCGCGCGUGCCGAAAGCAAAGUCCUCGUGUAGGUAUUUGUCAUCGGCAAUAUUGAUUUGCGUUGUCAACUGUCGGUAGCCGGGAGCAGUGAUAAAGAAAUGGAUGUGCGCCGGCCGUUGCCCAUGCCGUCCAAGCAAACACAUAAGUUUGUCAGUGUUACCUCCUGGAGGAACGCCAUACCCGCUUGGCAUAAUAGAACGGAAGCUAUACUUACCGUCGGCUCCCGUCUUGAUGCGCCG